RNAcentral lists this ribosomal RNA (497 nucleotides) under uncultured bacterium. Its description in RNAcentral is "partial 16S ribosomal RNA". It matches the Rfam family "Bacterial small subunit ribosomal RNA", at positions 28 to 507 of the family's 1533-position model. The record is from RNAcentral.
GAUGAACGCUGGCGGCGUGCCUAAUACAUGCAAGUCGAGCGAACGGAUGAGAACUUUGUCUCUCAGAUGCAAGCGGCGGACGGGUGAUUACAACGUGGAAACCUUACUGUAAAGCUGGGGUAACUCUCGGGAAACCGUAGCUAUACCCGGUAACUAUUUCGCUCCGAAUGGUUCAAACGUGAAAGUCGGUCCUGCCGACAAUUAUCGAUGGAUCCGCGCUGCAUUAGCUAGUUGGUAAGGUAACGGCUUACCAAGGCGACGAUGCAUAGCCGACCUGAGAGGGUGAUCGGCCACACUGGAACUGAGACACGGUCCAGACUCCUACGGGAGGCAGCAGUAGGGAAUCUUCCGCAAUGGGCGAAAGCCUGACGGAGCAACGCCGCGUGAGUGAUGAAGGUCUUCGGAUCGUAAAACUCUGUUAUUAGGGAAGAACAGAUGUAGGAGUAACUGUGCACAUCUUGACGGUACCUAAUCAGAAAGCCACGGCUAACUACGUG